GCCAGGCAUGGUGGCACUGCCUGUCAUCCCAGAUACUCGGGAGGCUGAGGCAGGAGGAUCACAAGUUCAAGAUCAACCUGGGCAACUUAGUGAGAUCCCGUCUCAA
This 106-nucleotide small RNA is filed under the name Marmota monax (woodchuck). Lineage: Eukaryota; Metazoa; Chordata; Mammalia; Rodentia; Sciuridae. The record is from RNAcentral.